GCUAUUGGUGAAGAUGCAGUUCAGUUGUAGUUGAUAGCCCAGAACUGAAGGGGCCAUGCAAAGAAGUUGAGGCUUGACACCAUAAAGGGAGCCUAUGAGAGGCUAUUGGUGAAGCCUGGUUGCACAGAAGACUCCAGUGUAUUGGAGAUGCCAGUACCAUAGUAUGGUCACUCAGAAUAGCAGAGGCAGUGGAGGGGAGUCAGCCUGACCUUCGAGAGCUACAGGAGACAGAGCUGGAGAUGAGCUUCAAGCCCUUUGGAGAAGCACAGAAAAUCAUGUAUGGAUCCCAGACAUUGGAACAAGAAACUGUGAAGUUGAUGUUGCCCUGGAGAACCCAAGAAGUCCAAGAUGCAGAACCAUAGGAUACCUGCUGAGGAAAGCUGCUAACAGGGAGUGGAACCAGCCAAAGAGAAAGAAUUGUGUUAUAGUCAACAAAGCAGGAAGAAGUUAGAUGUCUGAUAUGGAGUUGCAGAGUUUUGUCCAGAUGACUUUUGGCCUUGCUUUUGUCCAGGAUUUCCUCACUAGGACAUUUUGGAGUGGUAAAGUACAGCCUGUGAUGUUGGAGCUUCAGAAACUACCAUUACCCUGUGACUCUUUGAAGUACCGUUUUUUGUUUCAACUUCACACAACCUAUAGUCUCCUGGGAAGAGGGACUCUCAAUUGAAGAGUCAUCUUGAUCAGAUUGGCCUGUGGACAUGUCUGUGAGAGAUUGUCUUGAUUGCUGAUUGAUGUGUGAGAGCCUGGCUCACUAUGGGCAGCACUAUCCCUAGGGAGGAGGACUUGGGCUCUAUUAGAAAGCUACCUGGGCAUGAGCCAGUGAUUGAGCCAGCAUUCCUUCAUGGUUUCUACCUCAAGUUCCUGCCCUGCUUAAUUAAGUUCAUGCCUUGACGUUCCUCAGCAAUGGACGACGAUCUGGAAGGAAUAAGAUGUAGAACUCUCACCUCCUUCAACACCAUGCCUGCCUGGAUGCUGCCAUGUUUCCUGCCUUGAUGAUAAUGGACUGAACCUCUGAACCUGUCAGCCAGCCCUAAUUAAAUGUUGUCCUUUGUAAUAGUUGCCUUGGUCAUGGUGUCUCUUCCCAGCACUGAAAAUGAUAACUAAGACGUCUUUCCCCAUUUACACUUAUGUGAUAAGAUUCUGAAACAUUAAAUAUGGAAGUUGUUCAU
Molecule: long non-coding RNA, 1166 nt
Filed under: Mus musculus (house mouse)
Lineage: Eukaryota; Metazoa; Chordata; Mammalia; Rodentia; Muridae
Description: predicted gene 44621
Source: RNAcentral